GAUCAUGGCUCAGGAUGAACGCUAGCUACAGGCUUAACACAUGCAAGUCGAGGGGCAGCAUGGUCUUAGCUUGCUAAGGCCGAUGGCGACCGGCGCACGGGUGAGUAACGCGUAUCCAACCUGCCUUACACUCUUGGACAGCCCUCUGAAAGGGAGAUUAAUACAAGAUGUUAUCAUGAGUAGCUAUUUCGCAUGUAAGUUUUAAAACGGGUUUUACCGGUAGUAAGAGGUGGGGAUGUCCGUU
This 244-nucleotide ribosomal RNA is filed under the name uncultured bacterium. Its description in RNAcentral is "partial 16S ribosomal RNA". It matches the Rfam family "Bacterial small subunit ribosomal RNA", at positions 15 to 241 of the family's 1533-position model. The record is from RNAcentral.